This 4688-nucleotide long non-coding RNA is filed under the name Canis lupus familiaris (dog). RNAcentral describes it as "lncRNA (ENSCAFG00845001694.1)". Lineage: Eukaryota; Metazoa; Chordata; Mammalia; Carnivora; Canidae. The record is from RNAcentral.
UUUUUUGUUUUUUUUUUUUUAAAGUUUCCAAUUAAAAAAAUCUUGGAAAGUAGCUGACCUAUAUUUACUGUAACCAUAUUUUCCAAAUAAAAUUCCAGACACAUGGUCUGAUAAGUAUGUGCACACUGCCCACACUACUUAAAAAUAAAGUGCAUUGUUUUUUUCCCCUGCUUAAAAAAAAAAAAUCCAUGUUAAUUUUAGAGAUUAAAGAAAGGUCAAAGAAAAAACAAAAUAUCUGCAAUCCCAUCACCCAGAAAUAACCACUAUUAACAUUUUGAUCCAUACUUUUCUUAACUUUUUGCCUCUGACAGAGGAUAAUUUGUCAUCCAGUUGAGUAAAUACUGUAUUAUACAUAACAUAUAUGAUUAUAUAUGUAUAAUAUAUAUAAUUUUUCAUCCUGAAUUUUCUAAUUAGAGCUAUGUCACAAGGAUUUUCUCAUGUCACUGAAGAUUCUGUGUAAAUCUUAUUUUUAAUAGCUGUAUAGUAGUCUAUCUUUCCAAAUGUCAUUAAUUAUAUUUACCCACUACACAUAUCACUGAACAUUUAAAUUGCCACCAGUUUUCUUGCUAUUAUUAAAAAUACUAUUAAAAAUUGUGAUAAAUAUUCAUAUAUAUCUUUGUUCACACUUCUGAAAAUGUCCAUAGAAUAUCCAUGAAGCAGAAAUACUGCAUAACAGGAUAAAAUCUUUUAAAAUCUGUCCAUAAACAUCACCAACUUUUUUUAUGGAGACAUUGUACCAACUUACACUUAAUACUUGUUUCUGAAGACAACUAUGAGAAAUUUUACAUUAACACUGCUUCAGAAAAUUUGGAAGUUUUUCAAAUGUUUAUCGAGUACUUAAGUUCCAGACACUGUGCUAAGUGCUUUAUAUGUACUGUCAUUUACUCUUUACAAAAGUGCCAUGACCAAGGACAAGACACUAUUAUGAUUCCUAUUUUUCACACAAUUAAACUUUGGUGACUAGCCCAACUUAUAUAGCCAAUUCCUCAUAAAGCUAAAAGUGCAUGGCAAAACAGAGUCAAUGUAGAAUGUGUUGGUUUUGUUUUAUUUUUUUUAACUCCAACCAUCGUACUACUCCAGAGGCUUCUACAGCAAGGGUGCCAGCUAAGAGUGUUUGAGAGGAUCACUAACGGUUUAGAGAGGGCCUAGGGCUUAUAUCAGCAAGUACAGCCCUAGGACAGAAGCUGAUGCAUGGGCUUAGAACCCUAUGUGAUGAGGCCAAGAACACCCCUGGUCAAUGCCAUGCUAUAUGUGAUACUGGUAAGCUUGGGAGUGACCAAGAAAAAGGACACUGAGGUGAGCCGGAAUGACUUACCUGGUAAGUUUUGAGCCCAUGUAAGAUUCUGGGAGCUCCUCAUGCAAUAGAAUGGGAUUUCACAGAAGGAGAGCAAAGUACUGUGGUCUCAGAAGCUUACUAAUGAAUGCUUAGGACCUUGCAGUUCAUCAAACUAAACAUCAUCACAUAGAGAAAGAUGGUUUUCAUCUUUGAGUUGACAUAGGGCUGCCCAGCAUAUUUUGCACACUGUUCAAUGCUGAGGGCAUCAGUCAUGACCCAAGGGGUGUAUGGGGUCAAAACCCAGCCCAAGCUCUAAUGGCCAACAAGGGUACCUAUGAACUGUAUCUGCCUCCCAUUGUGUCUGUGACCUCAUGUGCUACUCCUCCCCACCUGCUCUCACAUAUCUAGCAACACUGGCUCCCUCACUGCCCCUCCGAGGACUGCAUUCCAGUCUCAGGAACUCCGCUCUGGCUGUUCUCUCUGCCUGGAAAGCUUUGCCUGAUCUCCCUCUUCAUGUCCUUUCCCAAGUAUUUCCUUCUCAAUGACCAUCCCAUGAACAAUUAUAAUUCCCAAUACUCCCCAACAGCCUCCCUCCAGGGGGGACAGUGAUUUUUGUUUGUUUAGUUUGCUGAUCUGUUACAAGUGCCUAGAACAUUCCUAGCAAAGAGCUCUCAAUAAAUAUUUGUUGAAUUGAAUGAAAUCACUAAAUGGGUGAACUGUGGAGAUGACAGUCUUGCUUCAGAUAUUUUCACAAUGAGAACACCAAAAGGCUGAGAGGGAAACUGACUUUAUCCAAGGCCACUGGUAGGUGUUUUUUCCCCAAGGUGCCCUUGCCUUGGAGCCCUCCAACUUAGCUGAAAUAAAACCCUUCCACAAUGAGGCCAACCCACGAAGACUAGAUCCAAUCAAAGCAAUUGAUAAAAGGUAUGAAUGACGACUAAGCAACGCCCUUCUAGGGUAUAGGCUUCACAUGAAUCUCCAGUUGAAGGAGAAUCUCUUUCUGGGCAUCAAGCAGACUAUAUACUCUCUCCUUUCCAGCCUUCUCAAGAGCAACUGUCUAACAACAACAAAGCCACCAAGAAGCCAGGUCCCUCGAAUUUAUCUUGCCUAAUAGAUCAAGUCUGUCCAUGACCCAUUUUUUCUCUUUUUCAAGUAGCUGGACACUGGAAGAAAUCAUUCCCAGCAGCAGGACAAAGAGAACUGCUCUAAGGGAUAAUCAAACUACAACUCAUUACAAAUGCCCAAUGUCAUAAACACUUCUCUGAAAUAUUUCCCUCUUCCCUCACAAGCAUGUACAGAGAACAAACACAGACAAUACAUAAUUUUGGAGCAGAUUUCUUUUUUCCAUGAUCUCUGCUCUCUUUUAACGAGCAAUUUGUUGUAUAUGUUAGCUUAAAGUAAAAUAAAAUCCUGGCAGUGAUCAUCAAAAUUGAGAACCCCAAAUGUAAAAGCUACCUCUUAAUAAGUGUGUAUUCUGGGAUUUCAAAUACAAGGUCUACAGACCCUUGAGAGAUCUUUAUAUGGAAUUUAGUGGUCUGUGAGUUAGUGGGCUAAAAGCUGUAUACAAACUUUUGUGGGUACAUGAAGAUACAUGCAUCUGUUGGUGAUCUCUUGUAAGAUUCUCAAAGGGAUGGUUCCCCCAAAUUACCGUUGAUUUUGACCCACUCAAAUGGGUGAUAAUCAAACUUAACUGCAGACUGUACAAUGCAAAAUUUGUGAUAAUUAAUUAUAUUUGACAUUAAUGCUUUCUCUUUUGAGGGUUGCCAUUAUCAAGACACAUGUUCUAGCUAAAUAAACACUUGGUUUGGGAACAUAAGCAGAGUGUAAUAAAUUAAUUUCCUAAUUAUUAUUCCUUGCUGAUGAUAAAAUUUUCCAUCUGGUCUUUAACCAUAUCUCCCUCUUUCUCUCUCACAGUUAACCUUGUGUAAAACACACUUUACAAAGUAAAUAUUUUGAACCACAUUUUUCAGAUAAAGAAGCUGAGACUCAUUAAAAAAAAAAAAAAGAAAGAAGAAGAAGAAGAAGAAGAAGAAGAAGAAGCUGAGACUCAGAGAGUUAAGUAGCUUUCAGGCCUCUUGACUGGUAAAUAGAGGAGCCAAGAUUUUAACAUAAGCCUACUGGAUCCUGAAGCUUGUGGGUUUUCCAACAGGGCAAACCACUAUCUUGAAAUUUAUAUUAUGUUUCCUGACUUCAGGAUUUUCAGUUCAAAUUUUUCCUUUAAUGGUGGGUGGUUAAACCAGAAUAUUUUAUACCAGCAAUUAUAUUUACCAACUGUUUUCAUGAAAGAUCUUUAAAUAUUAUUGGUAGUUCUGACAUGGUGAAAGUCAUCAUAACGUGUUUUCUCUAACUUUGGCUCCGAAUAUGGAGUCAGUGGCAGUCUAAAAUGUUGCUGUAACUCAGUUCAGAACUCCCCAAGAAUCCUCCCCUUGCGGCCAAAGAAAGCAGCCUAAUGUACACAUGAGAACUUCCCUGAGGCCAGUGUGUAAUUACCUGUUACCUCUUUCACAAGAUGGGAGCCAUGCCACCAACCCCUCCCCAGGAUGUGUGGGCACAACAAGAAUUAAGGCCUAACUCUCCUCAGUGGCAAAUGGCAUUUAAAGCAAAUAUACGAAUGCACAUGUGUGCCAUAAUAGGAAGGCUCCCUAGAAGAACAUUAUUUGUGAAGGAAAGGAGACAUUAUUUAUAGCUUUAAAACGCAGACUGUUCAAAACUGGAAAAUAAAAUACUUCUUUCAACACUACUGAUGUGUUUUUUGGUAUCUAUCUUUAGUGUACAUCUAUGGGUCUUUGUGAGGCCCUAUGGUACUCCCUCAUGAUUCAUGAACUACAAGUCACCAUCACAAUUUCCAAGUAGUUGGGAAGCAUUUAAUCCCCAGACAUAGCGAUUUUCUCAUUUAGCAAGAGAAUGGAAGGAAGUGGGAAAGUUUGGCUGAGGGCAGAAGUCUAAGAAUGUCCCAGCAUACACAGGCUUCAGAGAAGUCUGCUUGAAGGAGAUGUUGGAAAGCAUGGCUUGCUCUACCUCAGCCAAUCACAGUUUCCAACAUAGCUUCCAAAAAUCUAUCUGGUGUGUUUUCUGGCAGAUGUCCUUCUAAGUUAUUGGAUUCUAGCACACUCAGGUCAAAUAUCAGUUGUGUGUCCUUAUAACUGAGUCACCACCUCACAGACUCCCAAAAUCUCAAGUCUCCUCUUACUGUGUCAUUGUGUGGGGACAGCCUUCUGUGAGUUCAGGGGAAGGCUACCUUCCCCUAGCAUGCCCCAUCCCCAUAGCAAACUUGCUUCUUCACACACGUGUAGGACUACAGACAUUUGCUUGCUAGUGACAGCUCUUACCCAUGUUGAUUUAUUUUGGAGAAAUAUCAUUUCUAAGUCAUCAAAAAAAGAAAGAAAGAAAGAAAGAAAGAAAGAAAGAAAGA